UUUGUAUCUUAGGAUUUUCAUUAUGGAGGAAUUUCAUUUCUUUGUUUAGAUAUAUAUUAUAUAUUUUCAAAUACUUAAUUUUAACUGGUUUUAAUGGUACUUGCCUUUAAUCUCAGGACUUGAAAGACUGAGGCAGGAGGAAGAUCUGUACAAGUCUAUCUGGUUUACAGCAAACUCCAGGCCAGGCAAAGCUACACAGCAAGAUAGACCCUGCCUCCCGCUGCCCCUCUUUCAACCAAACCUUAAUUUGGGUGAUAGUACAACAGCAAAGCAACCAAUGAGCAUAGUUCACAGGUAGCCCACAGAAUGGGAGAAAAACUUCACUAGCCACACAUCAGACAAGGGGCUAGUUAAUACCCAGAGUUUACAAAGAAUUGUAGAAAUUAAACACCAAGAAAAUAAAGUACCCAGUCAUCAAAUGGGCAAAUGAACUGGAUAGACAGUUUUUAAAAUCACAGACGGCUAACAACUAUCUUUAACAGUGUUCAGCACCCCUAACUAUCAGAGAAAUGCAAAGUAAAACUACUUUAAGAUUCUAUCUCACCCCCAUCAGAAUGGCUCUCAUCAACACAUCUGACUGCAAAAGUUGGAGAGGCUGUAGAAGGAAAGGAACCCUGUCCAAUGUUGGUGGCUGUGCAAAUUAAUACAGGCAUUGUGCAAAUCGAUCUGGAGACUUCUCAAAUGGGAAAGAACCCCAGAAGCUAAAAAUAGAACUACUGUGCGAUCCAGCUGGGUAUCUAUCCAGAGAACUCCAUAUUCCACAAAAUAGAUAUUUGCACCCCAUUGUCCAUUGCUCUUUUAUUGAUAAUAUCAAAGAAUUGAAACCAACCUAGCUGUCCAUCAACAGAUGAAUGGAUAAUGAAAAUUAUAUAUAUCAAAUAUAUAUGUAAAUAGAUAAAUAUAUAUAUAUAUACAUAUAUAUAUAUAUAUAUAUAUAUUGCUCUGCUGAAAACUGAAAACUUUGCAGGAAAAUGGAUGAACUAGACUGUAUAAUAUGAAGCGAGGUCACACAAUUGU
This 1017-nucleotide long non-coding RNA is filed under the name Mus musculus (house mouse). Its description in RNAcentral is "long non-coding RNA chr2:59263985-59265002". Lineage: Eukaryota; Metazoa; Chordata; Mammalia; Rodentia; Muridae. The record is from RNAcentral.